GACGACCGGUUCUCUCUGGCCGCAGAGGCCCCAGAGGGCAGCUGAGGACAGCGACGGGAACCCCGCAUGGGCACGGUGAGGAGGAGGCCUGUGGCACCUCGUUCCGGACGCACCUUCCAAGUGAAUCUGCCUGUUGCAGAUGAGAAAGCUGUAGGGUUCUGUAAGAAAUGCAAAGUUACAUCCUGUCCCAAGGCAGGUAAGCAUCCUGGUAACCAAACCCACGUGACUAGACUGAAAAGCCACUCUUCCUCUGCCCCUGGACGACCAGGGCGGAGGAGACCUUUCUUCUCAUUGUAAACUUCACAUUUCAAGCACCACCAGGCUGUCCCUACGUUAUAGUAAGUGACCCCUGGAGGAGGGCAUGACAACCCACCUCAGUGUCCUUGCCUGGAGAAUCCCCAUGGACAAGAGGAGCCUGGUGGACUUCAGUCCCUGGGGUCUCAAAGAGUUGGACACAGCUAAGCACAGCACAUAGUAAGUGACACAAAAUGCUACUGCAUAAUGCUACUAAGAAAAGGACUGUUUUAUUCUGAGCAUGGUUUGUUUCUAAAAGAUGAACACGCAAAUAAAAAAUAGCAGCACAGAUGGUCAUAGGCAGUUCUGUGUCAUCACCAAGAACCCCUGAAAGGACCAAUUUGGCACUGAACCUUGGCUGUGAUCAUCACAGGUCAUCAACAGCGGCCCCAGAAUGGUUCCUCAGCAUUUCUAGACGUGGGUUUCUGGAUGCAGAGAGUGUGAACAUCACUUCUUCCCAGAGUCCUCAGGAAGGCGAGUGGACACAUGGGCGGGGAGCCUGAAGCCCAGGAGCUGGAGGACAGAACCGCAGUUUGCAUUUUCAGGAGAUUGCUCUGGGGGGACUCUCCUGCUUGACGCACAGGCAUCAGCUCUUGGGUAUUUAGGGCUUCAUAAAACCCUCUGUGCCUCUGUGGAGAACAUUUACUCAUCUAGUCAAACCUGGAGCCUCAGCAAAGACUGAUGCUGAAAAGAAGUCAUGCUGGUCAAUGGUGGGCUGUCAGAAGAACUCUACAAAUAGGUAUUUAUGAUAAACAGGGUCAGCAAGGCCGACUGUUGCAUUAUUUUUGGACCAGAACCUUGGUAGCACUUUUGCAAUUAUGAGAUGAAAUUACUGCGUAUCUUGUUCUUUGCAGUUUCUUUUUUGACUUUUAUUAGGACAGUGGACAUGUGUUUGAUAUCACUAUUUCGUGCUUUUUUUGUGCAUUAUUUUAGGCUUACUGUUUUGUCAUAAGUUCAUAUCACUGCUGUUUCACAAAAAAAAAGCACAAUCAGUUCAAAAUCAGAAAGUUAACAGCGGUUCCAUAGAGCACAGAUGGCGUGUUGUGAUGCUGUGAAGCCUGAGGGUGAGGCCGGAGCAGUGAGAGGAGUGAGCCGUCGAAAGGAGGGAGUCCUGGCCAAGGGCUUCGGGAAACACGCAAGCAGCAGAGGGAGGGAGGCUCUGUGCUGAAACCCUACCCCUGGCUGACGGUCAGUAAGCAAGGUGGCAAGGCUGGGAGGGGGAAGCCCCACGGGUGAUGUCGGGGCCCUUUCAAGGGGACCGUGCGCAGCUCCCCGGCCCCUUCACCACCUGGGGGCUCGGGUCUAUGAACCAGGAGGGGUUCCCGCCUCCAUCUCCCCACACAGUGAUCUCAGAUGUCCAGCCCACAGGACCGUGAGAAAUCCAUGUCCGCUAUUGGCAAGCCCCCUGUGUGUGGCGUCCUCUCAGGGAACUGACUGGGACAGGAGGUGGGAGCGGAGGGCUGGCGAGAGAGCAGCCAGUGAUCUUGGGACCAAGUGUUUUCCUGGAAAACCAAGGAGUGCAGAGUGAACCCAGAUCCCGGUGCCUCUGACAGGACAGUGGAAGGGCCUCCCUGGGUCUGCACACAGCAGCCAUCACUCAAGAGGACCUGUCAGGACAGCUAUAUGCAGCCCGGGUGCUCCGGGGUGGGGCUGAGAAGACCCGAAAGGUGGCUUGGAAGCAGACCCUGAUGACCUCAGGAGAAGGGGCCUCAGGAGGCGCCUCAGUGACCCUGCAUUCUCAUUGGCUCUCAGGCCCCCGCCACCUGUCAAUGGGCAGGUUGACUCACUGCGAGGAUGAACCAUCCCACCCUCACCCUCGGCCCUGCCAGCUUCUCCCACCGUCAUCUGGUCCAAGCUGCAGGAGGGCUUUCUUCCUGGGGGCCCUUCUGGGGUCUCCCCAGUUCUGGCUCCCCUGUCCCCCCAGAGUGAACUCGCCCCAUCUGCCUUUUGCUCCAGCUGGGCUCAGCCGGAGUUAAAUCUGCCUUUGGUCUGACAGUUGCCUCCUGAUUGUCUAUGCUUUGAAAUCCCGGGUCCCAGCACAGGCUGCGGGUUUUGGGGGUCUAUGGUUCAGCUGGUAAAAGAUCUGCCUGCAAUGCAGGAGACCCUGGUUCAAUUCCUGGGU
Odocoileus virginianus texanus is the source of this 2416-nucleotide non-coding RNA. The record is from RefSeq and is a predicted model, not a curated record. NCBI's taxonomy places the organism in Eukaryota, Metazoa, Chordata, Mammalia, Artiodactyla, Cervidae.